UCAGGAUGAACGCUAGCGGGAGGCCUAACACAUGCAAGCCGAGCGGUAUAUUGGAUUUAUUCAAUAGAGAGCGGCGUACGGGUGCGUAACACGUGUGCAACCUACCUUUAUCAGGGGAAUAGCCUUUCGAAAGGAAGAUUAAUACCCCAUAAUAUAUGAACAGGCAUCUGUUUAUAUUGAAAACUCCGGUGGAUAGAGAUGGGCACGCGCAAGAUUAGAUAGUUGGUGAGGUAACGGCUCACCAAGUCAUUGAUCUUUAGGGGUCCUGAGAGGGAGAUCCCCCACACUGGUACUGAGACACGGACCAGACUCCUACGGGAGGCAGCAGUGAGGAAUAUUGGACAAUGGGUGAGAGCCUGAUCCAGCCAUCCCGCGUGAAGGAUGACGGUCCUACGGAUUGUAAACUUCUUUUGUAUAGGGAUAAACCUAGUCUCGUGAGACUAGCUGAAGGUACUAUACGAAUAAGCACCGGCUAACUCCGUGCCAGCAGCCGCGGUAAU
This 500-nucleotide ribosomal RNA is filed under the name uncultured bacterium. Its description in RNAcentral is "bacterial SSU rRNA". It matches the Rfam family "Bacterial small subunit ribosomal RNA", at positions 24 to 524 of the family's 1533-position model. The record is from RNAcentral.